UACGUAGGGGUCGAGCGUUGUCCGGACUUACUGGGCGUAAAGCGUGUGUAGGUGGGUGCUGAUGUGCCGUGUGAAAGCGCCGCGCUUCUCGCGGCGAGGUCGCGGUAGACACAGCACCUAGAGGCACGGAGAGGGGCGUAGAAUUCCCGGUGUAGUGGUGAAAUGCGUAGAUAUCGGGAGGAAUACCAGUGGCGCAAGCGGCGCCCUGGCCGUGACCUGACACUGAGCCACGACGGCGUGGGGAGCAAACGGG
RNAcentral lists this ribosomal RNA (253 nucleotides) under uncultured bacterium. Its description in RNAcentral is "partial 16S ribosomal RNA". It matches the Rfam family "Bacterial small subunit ribosomal RNA", at positions 524 to 776 of the family's 1533-position model. The record is from RNAcentral.